RNAcentral lists this ribosomal RNA (425 nucleotides) under uncultured bacterium. RNAcentral describes it as "bacterial SSU rRNA". It matches the Rfam family "Bacterial small subunit ribosomal RNA", at positions 354 to 796 of the family's 1533-position model. The record is from RNAcentral.
GUGGGGAAUCUUGCGCAAUGGGCGAAAGCCUGACGCAGCCAUGCCGCGUGAAUGAUGAAGGUCUUAGGAUUGUAAAAUUCUUUCACCGGGGACGAUAAUGACGGUACCCGGAGAAGAAGCCCCGGCUAACUUCGUGCCAGCAGCCGCGGUAAUACGAAGGGGGCUAGCGUUGCUCGGAAUUACUGGGCGUAAAGGGCGCGUAGGCGGACAGUUUAGUCAGAGGUGAAAGCCCAGGGCUCAACCUUGGAAUUGCCUUUGAUACUGGCUGUCUUGAGUACGGGAGAGGUGAGUGGAACUCCGAGUGUAGAGGUGAAAUUCGUAGAUAUUCGGAAGAACACCAGUGGCGAAGGCGACUCACUGGCCCGUUACUGACGCUGGGGCGCGAAAGCGUGGGGAGCAAACAGGAUUAGAUACCCCAGUAGUCC